This 465-nucleotide ribosomal RNA is filed under the name Vreelandella stevensii. RNAcentral describes it as "partial 16S ribosomal RNA". It matches the Rfam family "Bacterial small subunit ribosomal RNA", at positions 338 to 795 of the family's 1533-position model. The record is from RNAcentral. Lineage: Bacteria; Pseudomonadati; Pseudomonadota; Gammaproteobacteria; Oceanospirillales; Halomonadaceae.
CCUACGGGGGGCUGCAGUGGGGAAUAUUGGACAAUGGGGGCAACCCUGAUCCAGCCAUGCCGCGUGUGUGAAGAAGGCCCUCGGGUUGUAAAGCACUUUCAGUGAGGAAGAACGCCUGGUGGUUAAUACCCAUCAGGAAAGACAUCACUCACAGAAGAAGCACCGGCUAACUCCGUGCCAGCAGCCGCGGUAAUACGGAGGGUGCGAGCGUUAAUCGGAAUUACUGGGCGUAAAGCGCGCGUAGGUGGCUUGAUAAGCCGGUUGUGAAAGCCCCGGGCUCAACCUGGGAACGGCAUCCGGAACUGUCAAGCUAGAGUGCAGGAGAGGAAGGUAGAAUUCCCGGUGUAGCGGUGAAAUGCAUAGAGAUCGGGAGGAAUACCAGUGGCGAAGGCGGCCUUCUGGACUGACACUGACACUGAGGUGCGAAAGCGUGGGUAGCAAACAGGAUUAGAUACCCCUGUAGUC